CCCUUAGAUGUUCUGGGCCGCACGCGUGCUACACUGAGUGGAUCAGCGGGUCAGGUUGCGCGAAAGCGUUUCCUAAUCUUUAAAUCCGCUCGUGAUGGGGAUUGACGGUUGCAAUUGUCGAUCUUGAACGAGGAAUUCCUAGUAAGCGCGAGUCAUCAGCUCGCGCUGAUUACGUCCCUGCCCUUUGUACACACCGCCCGUCGCUACUACAGAGUGCCCGUGUCCAAGAAACGGUCGGACCUGUGCGGCCUCUCCGGGCGACCGGAGGGCCGUUACGGGGAAGACCCUUUAUUUGACGCGGGUCGAUGAAGUAAAAGUCGUAACA
Molecule: ribosomal RNA, 325 nt
Filed under: uncultured eukaryote
Lineage: Eukaryota
Description: partial 18S ribosomal RNA
Rfam family: Eukaryotic small subunit ribosomal RNA
Source: RNAcentral